Molecule: long non-coding RNA, 2795 nt
Organism: Neofelis nebulosa (Clouded leopard)
Lineage: Eukaryota; Metazoa; Chordata; Mammalia; Carnivora; Felidae
Exons: 2
Source: RefSeq, a predicted model, not a curated record
CCGGAGGUGGCGCCUGCGGAACCCCGCGGCCAGCCGGGUUAGGACUGGACACUGAACGCCGGUCCGGGACUCCCUCCCAGUCCCGGAGCGGCGAUCGGUCUCCUUCCCGGGCGCGUGGGGUUUCCACGUGGGAGAGACAGAAAGCAGCGGCAGUCCCUGUGGAUCGGAGCCCAUCGGCGCGGUCCGCUCUCCUCCCCAUUCCCCAGAUCGAGAAACUGAGACCCAGAGAGGAACCGGCCCUAGCCCGGGACCCACCGCGAGCCCCACCCCGCGCCUCACCUGCCGGCGGUCGCAGCGCGCCGUGGUUUCCUGGAGUUGAGCGGCAAACAAAGGCCUCCAAUCCCGGUGCGGGGCGGGGCGGCGACUUUUUGCUUAAUCCCCGAGGCGGGCCUGUGACGGGCGGGGAGGGCCCAGGGAGGCGGGGCCUCGAGAAGCUCCACCAAUCGCAGAGAGGCGGCCGCCUGCGGCCCGCCCCCAGGCAUUCGGCCUGGGCUCCAGCCCUGAAAAGUUCACAUCUGGCAGGUUCGUGUCCCUCCUGGAACCCGCCCGAGUGCCGACCGGAGUCUGAGGGGCCCAGAGCGGAGACAUUUGUGCAAGCUCGCACAGAGCCACAGUGAGAAAGAAACCACAAACUUUCAUAGCUGAAGCGGACUGCUUCAUGACAGUAUAAUAUUAGUAAUAACGAACUUUUCUUGAGCACUUAUCUGUCAAUAACUGUUGGGAGCUCUUCCUGUGCUCCGUCCUCUCCUGUGAGGUAGAGUACAAACUUGGGGCAGUGGGCAGCAGCUGCCAGGCGCCCUCUUGUCUCCUGGAGUUAGACCGAGCGGAGAGAUGGACGGUUCAAGGCACCGGAGGUGGUCAGUGACUGGCCUGAAAUUCACCAUGGGCUGGUGAUAGACAGAUGCACAAGGUUCAGAACAAGAUGCACGAGGACUAGAGACUGCAAAAGUUGUGGCAUUCCUAAGGCCGGAGGACCCUUCGUUUGCCAUGAGCGUCAUCCGGAUUGCAGUCAUCACCCUGGGGCUGACCCUGAGCCUGGUUCAGGGGCCCACACACAGCAUCCCAACCUCCAUCACGGGCAAGUCGCAGUAUCCCCACUGCGUUUGUUUCCUGUAGUUGUUGUAACGAAUUGUCACCAGUUCAUGGCUUAAGGCAGCCCUAAUUUGUUCUCUUACAAAGAGAGGUUAGAAGUCCAUGGUCAGUCUCAAGGGGCUGAUGUCAAGGAGUUGGUUUCCUUCUGCCUGCUCUGAGGGGAGAAUCUCUUUCCCUGAUUUUUCCAGUGUUUAGUGGCCACCUGUAUUCCUGGCUGGUGGUCCCUCCCUCCAUCUCCAGAGCACAUCACGACCUCUGCUGCCCUCAGCACAGCACUGUUCCCUCCUCCGUGUCACGUCCCCCUCUGCCUCCCUCUUUCAAGGACCUUUGGGAUUAGAUUGGGCCCCGCCCAGAAAAUCCAGCAUAACCUCCCCAUCUAAAUGCCUUAACCCCAUAUGCCAAGUCCCUUUGCCAUGUAAGGUAAUGUUCACACUUUCCAGGAACCUGGAUAUCUUUGGGGCCAUUAUUCAGCCUGCCACACCCAUUUUCCAGAUGGGGAAUUUGGGCCUAGAAAGGUGAGAUCACUUACCUAUGACCAGGCAGGAUUUGGCAUCUGAUGCCUGGAGAGCUGGGGCCUGACAGCCAGGUGGGAGUUAUUCCCUGCAGGGUUAUUAGGACUGGGGAGGGGCCUAAAGAGUCCCCCAGGAGGGGCUGGGGCUUCAGGGAUACUGGCUGCCUUAGAGGUCAAGUGGAAUCCAGGCCUCUGGCCUCAGGUGGUUUCCUUGAGCUGGGGAGGUGAUGGGGGCAGAUGAAAGCAAGAUCUGGUGCAGGUCUGUGGACUCAACUGCCCCUAACCCAUCUCUAGCUGACCUCUGGACACAGAGCUGGGCAAAGCAGGACUUCUCAAACUCUUCUUAUCCCAGAGAAACCCUGGGGUUGAAGGAAAUGGGCCCCAGGGGUGUAGCAGACCAUUUUAUGCCCCCCUCCCUUCCCCGCCCUUCACCAAGUGUUUUUGCUUCUAACACCCCCAUGCCCCAACCCCACCCCCCAACCCUGGCCCUGCCCUUGGCUCCUGGAACAGCGUGGCCUGUACAGGUAAAGAAUGGGAUUGUGGUCGGGAAUUUACUGCCUCUAACCCUUCCCCUCCCCGGACCUUGUGCAAAGACUGACAGCAUGAAGGCCCUGUCACCUUGCCCUGAGUGGGGACAGUUCUGGACCCACCUUCUACUCUAGAGUCCCCUGUGGGAUCACGCUGCAGCCACCCUCCCAGCUUCACCUCAAAUCCCACCCUGCUCAGCUUUCUCCUUUUCCCCCUCCUGACUUGUCCACUCCCUUACUGGUCUGCCGUGGCAGCCUUUCCUUAAUGAAUCACUUGCAUAUAAAUCCUCAUCAGAGUCGGCUUCUGGCACCCUCCCUGAGACAGGCCCCUCUCUGUGUGUUAAAGCAUCCAUGCACAUUGUGCAUUCUGCCCCAUAACAUACCUGUGCAUUUUAAUUUAAAGGUAUUUUCUGUGAACAGCCUUCAGGUAACGUGCUCCAAGAUGUGGGUGUGGCUCAGAUGCCCCUGCACCCCCACGUGUGUCCCACAUUGAGCCGUGGGGGGCAGAGGGAGAGGCUGGCGGUGUCUUGUUCUGGGUGUCUCCAUCUGUCCUCCAUCUGUCCAUUAGAACCCCAGCCACAAAGGCAGGCCACAUAGCACACCGGACCCUAACCUUGUUCAGAUUUCUUUAUUGAAAAAUUAAAGUCAUAAGCUCUGUAUAUAAA